This 67-nucleotide transfer RNA is filed under the name Alleculinae sp. ENSP01. RNAcentral's name for it is "tRNA-Ser". Lineage: Eukaryota; Metazoa; Arthropoda; Insecta; Coleoptera; Tenebrionidae. The record is from RNAcentral.
AACUAAUGAACUUGAAUAAGUUUGUAUUUUGAAAAUACAAGAAAGAAAUAAAACUUUCUAUUAGUUU